Molecule: ribosomal RNA, 261 nt
Filed under: uncultured bacterium
Lineage: Bacteria
Description: partial 16S ribosomal RNA
Rfam family: Bacterial small subunit ribosomal RNA
Source: RNAcentral
CCGGCGCACGGGUGAGUAACACGUAUGCAACCUGCCUGCCACAGCCGGAUAAUCGGGAGAAAUUCCGUCUAAUACGGCAUAAUGCAUCGACGGGACAUCCUGUUGGUGCCAAAGGUUAAUUCCGGUGGCGGAUGGGCAUGCGUCGCAUUAGUUAGUUGGCGGUGUAACGGACCACCAAGACGACGAUGCGUAGGGGUUCUGAGAGGAAGGUCCCCCGCACUGGUACUGAGACACGGACCAGACUCCUACGGGAGGCAGCAG